GAACGCGAAGAACCUUACCCGGGCUUGAAUUGCAGACGAACGAUUCAGAGAUGAUGAGGCCCUUCGGGGCGUCUGUGAAGGUGCUGCAUGGUUGUCGUCAGCUCGUGCCGUGAGGUGUCGGCUUAAGUGCCAUAACGAGCGCAACCCCUUUUUUCAGUUGCCAUCAGGUGAUGCUGGGCACUCUGGAGAUACUGCCACCGUAAGGUGUGAGGAAGGUGGGGAUGACGUCAAAUCAGCACGGCCCUUACGUCCGGGGCUACACACGUGUUACAAUGGCCGGUACAGAGAGUUGGUUGUAUGCAAAUACGAUCUAAUCCUUAAAGCCGGUCCCAGUUCGGACUGGGGUCUGCAACCCGACCCCACGAAGCUGGAUUCGCUAGUAAUCGCGCAUCAGCCAUGGCGCGGUGAAUACGUUCCCGGGUCUUGUACACACC
RNAcentral lists this ribosomal RNA (434 nucleotides) under uncultured bacterium. RNAcentral describes it as "bacterial SSU rRNA". It matches the Rfam family "Bacterial small subunit ribosomal RNA", at positions 957 to 1391 of the family's 1533-position model. The record is from RNAcentral.